CUGGAGGUAUCAGAAGUGCGAAUGCUGACAUAAGUAACGAUAAAGCGGGUGAAAAGCCCGCUCGCCGGAAGACCAAGGGUUCCUGUCCAACGUUAAUCGGGGCAGGGUGAGUCGACCCCUAAGGCGAGGCCGAAAGGCGUAGUCGAUGGGAAACAGGUUAAUAUUCCUGUACUUGGUGUUACUGCGAAGGGGGGACGGAGAAGGCUAUGUUGGCCGGGCGACGGUUGUCCCGGUUUAAGCGUGUAGGCUGGUUUUCCAGGCAAAUCCGGAAAAUCAAGGCUGAGGCGUGAUGACGAGGCACUACGGUGCUGAAGCAACAAAUGCCCUGCUUCCAGGAAAAGCCUCUAAGCAUCAGGUAACAUCAAAUCGUACCCCAAACCGACACAGGUGGUCAGGUAGAGAAUACCAAGGCGCUUGAGAGAACUCGGGUGAAGGAACUAGGCAAAAUGGUGCCGUAACUUCGGGAGAAGGCACGCUGAUAUGUAGGUGAAGCGACUUG
RNAcentral lists this ribosomal RNA (499 nucleotides) under Escherichia coli. RNAcentral's name for it is "partial 23S ribosomal RNA". It matches the Rfam family "Bacterial large subunit ribosomal RNA", at positions 1273 to 1772 of the family's 2925-position model. The record is from RNAcentral. Lineage: Bacteria; Pseudomonadati; Pseudomonadota; Gammaproteobacteria; Enterobacterales; Enterobacteriaceae.